This 266-nucleotide unclassified non-coding RNA is filed under the name uncultured fungus. RNAcentral describes it as "sequence contains ITS2". The stretch from base 1 to 52 matches the Rfam family "5.8S ribosomal RNA", at positions 103 to 154 of the family's 154-position model. Lineage: Eukaryota; Fungi. The record is from RNAcentral.
AACGCACAUUGCGCCCGCCAGUAUUCUGGCGGGCAUGCCUGUCCGAGCGUCAUUUCAACCCUCGAGCUCCCCCGGGGGCUUGGUGUUGGGGACCGGCCCCGCCCCGUCGCGGGUCGCCGCCCCCUAAAUACAGUGGCGGUCUCGCCGCGCCCUCCCCUGCGUAGUAAUUACAACCUCGCACCGGAGCGCGGCUCGACCACGCCGUCAAACCCCAACUUCUCCAAAAGGUUGACCUCGGAUCAGGUAGGAAUACCCGCUGAACUUAA